GAACGCUGGCGGCAUGCUUAACACAUGCAAGUCGAACGGUAGCAGAAGAGAGCUUGCUUCUUGCUGACGAGUGGCGGACGGGUGAGUAAUGCAUAGGAAAUUGCCUUAAGUGGGGGAUAACAUUCGGAAACGAAUGCUAAUACCACAUAAUAACUACGGUUCAAAGUGGGGGCUCGCAAGACCUCACGCCCUAAGAGAUGCCUAUAUUGGAUUAGCUUGUUGGUGAGGUAAUGGCUCACCAAGGCAACGAUCCAUAGCUGGUUUGAGAGGAUGAUCAGCCACAUUGGGACUGAGACACGGCCCAAACUCCCACGGGAGGCAGCAGUGGGGAAUAUUGGACAAUGGGGGAAACCCUGAUCCAGCAAUGCCGCGUGUGUGAAAAUGAAGGUCUUAGGAUUGUAAAGCACUUUUAGUAAUGAAGAAUGGUUAGUAGCUAAUACCUGCUAAUUUGACAUUAGUUACAGAAAAAGCACCGGCUAACUCCGUGCCAGCAGCGGC
RNAcentral lists this ribosomal RNA (498 nucleotides) under uncultured bacterium. Its description in RNAcentral is "bacterial SSU rRNA". It matches the Rfam family "Bacterial small subunit ribosomal RNA", at positions 31 to 518 of the family's 1533-position model. The record is from RNAcentral.